UCGCGAAAACUUUGCAAUACACGAAAGUGUGACAGGGCUAUCCCGAGUGCCAUCCGCUGAGGAAGGCUUUUACCCAGUCUAGAACGCUGGGGGAAUAAGGAGAGGGCAAGUCUGGUGUCAGCCGCCGCGGUAAUACCAGCACCCCGAGUUGUCGGGACGAUUAUUGGGCCUAAAGCAUCCGUAGCCUGUUCUGCAAGUCCUCCGUUAAAUCCACCUGCUCAACGGAUGGGCUGCGGAGGACACCGCAGAGCUAGGAGGCGGGAGAGGCAAACGGUACUCAGUGGGUAGGGGUAAAAUCCAUUGAUCUACUGAAGACCACCAGUGGCGAAGGCGGUUUGCCAGAACGCGCUCGACGGUGAGGGAUGAAAGCUGGGGGAGCAAACCGGAUUAGAUACCCGGGUAGUCCCA
RNAcentral lists this ribosomal RNA (408 nucleotides) under uncultured archaeon. Its description in RNAcentral is "bacterial SSU rRNA". It matches the Rfam family "Archaeal small subunit ribosomal RNA", at positions 339 to 749 of the family's 1478-position model. The record is from RNAcentral.